Molecule: ribosomal RNA, 310 nt
Filed under: uncultured Fusochloris
Lineage: Eukaryota; Viridiplantae; Chlorophyta; Trebouxiophyceae; Microthamniales
Description: partial large subunit ribosomal RNA
Rfam family: Eukaryotic large subunit ribosomal RNA
Source: RNAcentral
AUAUCAAUAAGCGGAGGAGAAGAAACUAACCAGGAUUCCUUAGUAGCGGCGAGCGAACCGGGAAGUGCCCAACUUGUAAAUCUCCGGCCUCCGGCCGGCGAAUUGUAGUCUAGAGAAGCGCCCUCUGCGGCAGGUCGGCCUCAAGUCCCUUGGAAGAGGGUGUCAGAGAGGGUGAGAGCCCCGUCGGCGCGACUGUUGCCGCUCCACGAGACGCUUUCGAAGAGUCGGGUUGUUUGGGAAUGCAGCCCAAAGCCGGUGGUAAAUCCCAUCUAAGGCUAAAUACUGACGGGAGACCGAUAGCGCACAAGUA